RNAcentral lists this ribosomal RNA (362 nucleotides) under uncultured bacterium. Its description in RNAcentral is "bacterial SSU rRNA". It matches the Rfam family "Bacterial small subunit ribosomal RNA", at positions 28 to 390 of the family's 1533-position model. The record is from RNAcentral.
GAUGAACGCUAGCGGCAGGCCUAAUACAUGCAAGUCGAACGGUAAGGCCCUUUCGGGGUACGACGAGUGGCGGACGGGUGCGUAACGCGUAUGCAACAUGCCUUCCAGCGGGGGAUAUACCAGGGAAACUUGGCGCAAUACCCCAUAGAAUUACGGGACCGCAUGGUCUUGUGAUUAAAACUCCGGUGCUGGGAGAUUGGCAUGCGUGACAUUAGCUAGUUGGCGGGGUAACGGCCCACCAAGGCGACGAUGUCUAGCUGGUCUGAGAGGAUGAUCAGCCACACUGGGACUGAGACACGGCCCAGACUCCUACGGGAGGCAGCAGUAGGGAAUAUUGGACAAUGGGGGGGACCCGUGAUCCA